Molecule: ribosomal RNA, 257 nt
Filed under: uncultured prokaryote
Description: partial 16S ribosomal RNA
Rfam family: Bacterial small subunit ribosomal RNA
Source: RNAcentral
UACGUAGGUGGCAAGCGUUAUCUGGAAUUAUUGGGCGUAAAGAGCGCGCAGGUGGUUGAUUAAGUCUGAUGUGAAAGCCCACGGCUUAACCGUGGAGGGUCAUUGGAAACUGGUCGACUUGAGUGCAGCAGAGGGAAGUGGAAUUCCAUGUGUAGCGGUGAAAUGCGUAGAGAUAUGGAGGAAUACCAGUGGCGAAGGCGGCUUCCUGGUCUGUAACUGACACUGAGGCGCGAAAGCGUGGGGAGCAAACAGGAUUA